This 900-nucleotide ribosomal RNA is filed under the name Melanoleuca exscissa. RNAcentral describes it as "eukaryotic LSU rRNA". It matches the Rfam family "Eukaryotic large subunit ribosomal RNA", at positions 38 to 925 of the family's 3401-position model. Lineage: Eukaryota; Fungi; Basidiomycota; Agaricomycetes; Agaricales; Pluteaceae. The record is from RNAcentral.
GCAUAUCAAUAAGCGGAGGAAAAGAAACUAACAAGGAUUCCCCUAGUAACUGCGAGUGAAGCGGGAAAAGCUCAAAUUUAAAAUCUGGCAGUCUCUGGCUGUCCGAGUUGUAAUCUAGAGAAGUGUUAUCCGCGCUGGACCAUGUACAAGUCUCCUGGAACGGAGCGUCAUAGAGGGUGAGAAUCCCGUCUUUGACAUGGACUACCAGGGCUUUGUGAUGCGCUCUCAAAGAGUCGAGUUGUUUGGGAAUGCAGCUCAAAAUGGGUGGUAAAUUCCAUCUAAAGCUAAAUAUUGGCGAGAGACCGAUAGCGAACAAGUACCGUGAGGGAAAGAUGAAAAGAACUUUGGAAAGAGAGUUAAACAGUACGUGAAAUUGUUGAAAGGGAAACGCUUGAAGUCAGUCGCAUUGGCCAGGGAUCAACCUUACAUUUGUUGGGUGUACUUUCUGGUUAAUGGGUCAGCAUCAAUUUUGACUGUUGGAAAAAGGUCAGGGGAAUGUGGCAUCUUUGGAUGUGUUAUAGCCCUUGGUUGUAUACAGCAGUUGGGAUUGAGGAACUCAGCACGCCGCAAGGCCGGGUUUUUACCACGUACGUGCUUAGGAUGCUGGCAUAAUGGCUUUAAUCGACCCGUCUUGAAACACGGACCAAGGAGUCUAACAUGCCUGCGAGUGUUUGGGUGGAAAACCCAUGCGCGUAAUGAAAGUGAAAGUUGAGAUCUCUGUCGUGGAGAGCAUCGACGCCCGGACCAGACCUUUUGUGACGGUCCCGCGGUAGAGCAUGUAUGUUGGGACCCGAAAGAUGGUGAACUAUGCCUGAAUAGGGUGAAGCCAGAGGAAACUCUGGUGGAGGCUCGUAGCGAUUCUGACGUGCAAAUCGAUCGUCGAAUUUGGGUAUAGGGGCG